Long non-coding RNA from Capsicum annuum, 634 nucleotides. RefSeq lists it as uncharacterized. Lineage: Eukaryota; Viridiplantae; Streptophyta; Magnoliopsida; Solanales; Solanaceae. The record is from RefSeq and is a predicted model, not a curated record. The transcript is spliced from 3 exons.
CUGCCCGAAAAAAUUUUCUAGGGUUCUGAGGCAACUUCUAAAAUGGAAUCCUCUGGUUCUUUGAGGAAAUUGUGGGUUCUUCAACGAAUAAAUUAAUGAAUUUGCAGAAUAGAUUGUAUCCCUAGCCUCUGUAUACCUUUGAUGUCGACCAAAGAGAUCGUCACGAGGUUGUUGACGCUUCUUCAAAUCAAUCUCCAGAUCAGUCAGAGAACAAGCUGAAAAUAAUGAUUUGUGGGAUUAUUCUAAAUUUUAUCAUCCAGAAAUUUGGGUAGAUUCACAAAUGGAUUUGAACUUAACAAAGCAGUCAACUAGAACUCACGGAGGUGUGCAUGUUGAAUCUGUUGAUUGACCUUCUUUUACACUAAAAAAAGGAAGUCAUUUUGAAAGAGAAGUCAUGACGAAUUAUGUAGUUUUGUUGAAGAAGAAGAAAAAGAGAAACUUUAGUAAAAUAUAGGGAUUAUGCAUUAGUUUCUUUUGUUAGUUAUGUGAAACACUUAUUUAGACAUGUCUCUGUGGUUAUAUUAUGGCGUGGUACAGUGUGAUGUUGCCAUUUGCCUAUAAAAAAUUAUUUAGCUGAAAUUAUAGCAAGUUAUGACACUUUUUUGAAGUAUUGAUGCUAUAAAUUGUUAUUUUG